UACGUAGGGGGCAAGCGUUGUCCGGAUUUAUUGGGCGUAAAGAGCGUGUAGGCGGCUUGGUAGGUCCGCUGUGAAAACUCGAGGCUCAACCUCGAGACGCCGGUGGAAACCAUCAGGCUAGAGUCCGGAAGAGGAGAGUGGAAUUCCUGGUGUAGCGGUGAAAUGCGCAGAUAUCAGGAGGAACACCGGUGGCGAAGGCGGAUCUCUGGGCCAUUACUGACGCUGAGGAGCGAAAGCGUGGGGAGCGAACAGG
Molecule: ribosomal RNA, 253 nt
Filed under: uncultured bacterium
Lineage: Bacteria
Description: partial 16S ribosomal RNA
Rfam family: Bacterial small subunit ribosomal RNA
Source: RNAcentral